CCGCCGGCCCGCUUCUCCCGCAAUCUCGCUCGCGCGCGCGGCCUUGGCUUCUCCCGCGCUCGCUCUCUUCCCACGCACGGCCUCUGCUUCUCCCGCGCGCGCUCGCCAGCGUCCUAUCCAAGCACUUCGACCCUUAUUUCCUCCGGUCCAAGCACCAAAUUCCAAGACCCAACAUUCUCCGAACCUAAUCCAUCCCAAAUCGACGUGAAUCCACUCCGGCCGCUGUCCUCAAGUUCCAGGCAAGGAAAGGCAGGGCGAGGUAGGGGUGCUCCGGCCGCCGUCGCUGCCAGAUCUACUUCGGUCAAUGGCGCUCGCGUCACCCCUACUGAUGGAUCCAGUUCGGCCGCUGGUAAUCCCGCUGUCGUGGCUGCAGCAGCAUAUCCACCGCUUCCAAGUCUUCAAGCCACCGGAUUUCCUGCUUGGUGGACAAGUUCACGAUGGGCUCCAAUGAAGGGAUUUACCCACCAGGUGGUUUUAUCAAUUUGAUCCAGCCAAACAGUAGUUUAGAGAAUUUCCAUUUAAUUGGCAAUAGAACAAGCACAGCUAGAAAUUCGCCAAGCACUCCACAAGCAUCUUCAACUAUUUGCAGAAAAACAAGAAGGGGCAAGGAAGGAUGUUGAGUGCGCCUUUGGGAUUUUGCAGUCUCGCUUUUGUAUUUUGCGUCGACCAGCACGUUUGUACAAGCAAGGGGAUCUUCAGAAUAUCAUGCUUGCCUGUAUAAUCCUCCACAACAUGAUAAUUGAAGAUGAGAAGGAUAUAGAGCAGGUUCCACUUGAUUUGAAUGAGGAAGGCAACGCAUAUAUUGUUCAAGGAGCUACAGUUUCUCAUGGACAAAACCCAGAGUUGGAAGGCUUGCUUAAUAGAAAUACCGCCGUACAUGAUCGCAUAGCGUACAAACAACUUCAAUCUAAUUUGAUUGAUCAUAUUUGGCAAAAGUUUGGGAAUUCAAAUAGGAAAAAUAAUUAGAUGAUGGUUUCUGGACUGCUGUGCAAACUGAUGGCUUCUGAAGCUCGUGUGUGCUACCUGACAUGAUAUGGACAUCAACUACAUGGAUGAGAGAUGAUGGAUGAUGGCAACUUAUUAUUUUUCUAUGGGUACCAUGAACUUUAUUUCUUUUGUUAUCAACUAUAUGUACCACCUAUCAUGAACUUUAGUUAUUUUGUUAUCAACUAUGUAUGCUACCUAUUAUCUUUAUUCCUGGAUGCUAUUGUUAUAUAUGGUUCUGGACUGCAGAAAUAGUGUAUUUUUUUACUAGCGCGCAUAAAGUAUGUUGUGGAGCUUGUGUAA
Molecule: long non-coding RNA, 1287 nt
Organism: Sorghum bicolor (sorghum)
Lineage: Eukaryota; Viridiplantae; Streptophyta; Magnoliopsida; Poales; Poaceae
Exons: 3
Source: RefSeq, a predicted model, not a curated record